RNAcentral lists this non-coding RNA (26 nucleotides) under Cricetulus griseus (Chinese hamster). The record is from RNAcentral. Lineage: Eukaryota; Metazoa; Chordata; Mammalia; Rodentia; Cricetidae.
CAUGGAAGCUCACCGGGCAGCGGGGC